CGAAAGCCUGACGGAGCAAUACCGCGUGAGGGAGGAAGGUCUGUGGAUUGUAAACCUCUUUUCUCAGGGAAGAAGAACUGACGGUACCUGAGGAAUCAGCAUCGGCUAACUCCGUGCCAGCAGCCGCGGUAAGACGGGGGAUGCAAGUGUUAUCCGGAAUCACUGGGCGUAAAGCGUCUGUAGGUGGCUUAACAAGUCAACUGUUAAAUCUUGAAGCUCAACUUCGAAAUCGCAGUCGAAACUGUUAGGCUAGAGUAUAGUAGGGGUAAAGGGAAUUUCCAGUGGAGCGGUGAAAUGCGUAGAGAUUGGGAAGAACACCGGUGGCGAAAGCGCCCUACUGGGCCAUAACUGACACUGAGGGACGAAAGCUAGGGUAGCG
This 379-nucleotide ribosomal RNA is filed under the name uncultured cyanobacterium. RNAcentral describes it as "bacterial SSU rRNA". It matches the Rfam family "Bacterial small subunit ribosomal RNA", at positions 376 to 770 of the family's 1533-position model. The record is from RNAcentral. Lineage: Bacteria; Bacillati; Cyanobacteriota.